CCUACGGGAGGCAGCAGUGGGGAAUUUUGGACAAUGGGGGCAACCCUGAUCCAGCAAUGCCGCGUGAGUGAAGAAGGCCUUCGGGUUGUAAAGCUCUUUUGUCAGGGAAGAAACGGUAGUAGCUAAUAUCUAUUACUAAUGACGGUACCUGAAGAAUAAGCACCGGCUAACUACGUGCCAGCAGCCGCGGUAAUACGUAGGGUGCAAGCGUUAAUCGGAAUUACUGGGCGUAAAGCGUGCGCAGGCGGUUGUGUAAGUCAGAUGUGAAAUCCCCGGGCUCAACCUGGGAAUUGCAUUUGAGACUGCACGGCUAGAGUGUGUCAGAGGGGGGUAGAAUUCCACGUGUAACAGUGAAAUGCGUAGAUAUGUGGAGGAAUACCGAUGGCGAAGGCAGCCCCCUGGGAUAACACUGACGCUCAUGCACGAAAGCGUGGGGAGCAAACAGGAUUAGAUACCCUGGUAGUCCACGCCCUAAACGAUGUCUACUAGUUGUCGGGUCUUAAUUGACUUGGUAACGCAGCUAACGCGUGAAGUAGACCGCCUGGGGAGUACGGUCGCAAGAUUAAAACUCAAAGGAAUUGACGG
This 585-nucleotide ribosomal RNA is filed under the name uncultured Herbaspirillum sp. RNAcentral describes it as "bacterial SSU rRNA". It matches the Rfam family "Bacterial small subunit ribosomal RNA", at positions 338 to 916 of the family's 1533-position model. Lineage: Bacteria; Pseudomonadati; Pseudomonadota; Betaproteobacteria; Burkholderiales; Oxalobacteraceae. The record is from RNAcentral.